UUCACUUGUUGGUGAGGUAGUGGCUCACCAAGGCGUCGACGGGUAGCCGGCCUGAGAGGGUGACCGGCCACACUGGGACUGAGACACGGCCCAGACUCCUACGGGAGGCAGCAGUGGGGAAUAUUGCACAAUGGGCGCAAGCCUGAUGCAGCAACGCCGCGUGAGGGACGACGGCCUUCGGGUUGUAAACCUCUUUUAGUUGGGAAGAAGCCUUCGGGUGACGGUACCUUCAGAAAAAGCACCGGCUAACUACGUGCCAGCAGCCGCGGUAAUACGUAGGGUGCAAGCGUUAUCCGGAAUUAUUGGGCGUAAAGAGCUCGUAGGCGGUUUGUCACGUCUGCUGUGAAAACUGGAGGCUCAACUUCCAGCUUGCAGUGGGUACGGGCAGACUUGAGUGCGGUAGGGGAGAUCGGAAUUCCUGGUGUAGCGGUGGAAUGCGCAGAUAUCAGGAGGAACACCGAUGGCGAAGGCAGAUCUCUGGGCCGUAACUGACGCUGAGGAGCGAAAGAGUGGGGAGCAAACAGGCUUAGAUACCCUGGUAGUCCACUCCGUAAACGUUGGGAACUAGUUGUGGGGGCCUU
This 581-nucleotide ribosomal RNA is filed under the name Microbacterium gubbeenense. RNAcentral describes it as "bacterial SSU rRNA". It matches the Rfam family "Bacterial small subunit ribosomal RNA", at positions 241 to 832 of the family's 1533-position model. The record is from RNAcentral. Lineage: Bacteria; Bacillati; Actinomycetota; Actinomycetes; Micrococcales; Microbacteriaceae.